CAUAAAAAAUUCCAAAUUGAAGAAGAAUUGAGAAGAAGCUGACCGGGAGCCGUGGACAAAAAAAAUCAAAAAAGGGUAUUUUGUAUACAAAUGUCGUGGCAUAAUAAUAAUUUAAUGGGUAUAUGCUAAUGCAUAUAAAAAAUUAAAUGAUGUUAAAACCAAACCUAUUGUGAACAUGGUGAGUUAUCGCAAAAAAAUUCAUAAAGACUGGCCAAAUUUCGUCCUCCAUGGACAAAAUUCACAAGGGCCUUCAGCUGAUGACUUCAAAUGGGCAAAUACACAUUCAGACCAUAUGUGAACUGGGCAUUUUAAUGCGUGUAAUGAAAUUGAUUGUAGAAUCUUGAAAGUAGGUAACAAUCGUGCGGACAGACAAAAGGAUAGACAGAU
Long non-coding RNA from Stomoxys calcitrans (stable fly), 387 nucleotides. RefSeq lists it as uncharacterized. The transcript has 3 exons. Lineage: Eukaryota; Metazoa; Arthropoda; Insecta; Diptera; Muscidae. The record is from RefSeq and is a predicted model, not a curated record.